Gopherus flavomarginatus (Mexican gopher tortoise) is the source of this 316-nucleotide long non-coding RNA. RefSeq lists it as uncharacterized. The transcript is spliced from 3 exons. The record is from RefSeq and is a predicted model, not a curated record. NCBI's taxonomy places the organism in Eukaryota, Metazoa, Chordata, Testudines, Testudinidae.
CUGUGCGGUGCGUUCCCCCCCCCAUAGGGUCUGUCGGGUGAUGGAGCCGCGCACCUGUGCGGUGCGUUCCCCCCCCCAUAGGGUCUGGUCUGUUGGGUGAUGGAGCUGUGCGCCUGUGCGGUGCGUCCCCCCCCGUAGGGUCCAUCGGGUAAUGGAGCCGUGCGUCUGUGUGGAGCGUCCCCCCUCUCCCCGUAGGGUCUGUCGGAUGAUGGAGCUGUGUGCCUGUGUUGUGUGCUUCCCCUCAUACGGUCCGUCAGAUGAUGGAACUGUGUGCCUAUGUUGUGUGCUUCCCCCCAUAGGGUGUUGGAUGAUGGAG